GCCCACGUAGCUCAGGAGGUAGAGCACUUCCUUGGUAAGGAAGUGGUCACCGGUUCGAGUCCGGUCGUGGGCUCCA
Molecule: transfer RNA, 76 nt
Filed under: Thermodesulfobacteriota bacterium
Lineage: Bacteria; Pseudomonadati; Thermodesulfobacteriota
Also listed under: 1 other name
Description: tRNA-Thr
Rfam family: tRNA
About the family: Transfer RNA (tRNA) molecules are approximately 80 nucleotides in length. Their secondary structure includes four short double-helical elements and three loops (D, anti-codon, and T loops).
Source: RNAcentral